GAUGAACGCUGGCGGCGUGCCUAAUACAUGCAAGUCGAGCGAACGGACGAGAAGCUUGCCUCUCUGAUGUUAGCGGCGGACGGGUGAGUAACACGUGGAUAACCUACCUAUAAGACUGGGAUAACUUCGGGAAACCGGAGCUAAUACCGGAUAAUAUUUUGAACCGCAUGGUUCAAAAGUGAAAGACGGUCUUGCUGUCACUUAUAGAUGGAUCCGCGCUGCAUUAGCUAGUUGGUAAGGUAACGGCUUACCAAGGCAACGAUGCAUAGCCGACCUGAGAGGGUGAUCGGCCACACUGGAACUGAGACACGGUCCAGACUCCUACGGGAGGCAGCAGUAGGGAAUCUUCCGCAAUGGGAGAAAGCCUGACGGAGCAACGCCGCGUGAGUGAUGAAGGUCUUCGGAUCGUAAAACUCUGUUAUUAGGGAAGAACAUAUGUGUAAGUAACUGUGCACAUCUUGACGGUACCUAAUCAGAAAGCCACGGCUAACUACGUG
This 497-nucleotide ribosomal RNA is filed under the name uncultured bacterium. RNAcentral describes it as "partial 16S ribosomal RNA". It matches the Rfam family "Bacterial small subunit ribosomal RNA", at positions 28 to 507 of the family's 1533-position model. The record is from RNAcentral.